CAAUGAAACAGUUCUUAUUACUGAUAAGUAUACUGGGAAUGGUCAUGUGCUGCAAGUUUUGGAAGGAGGGGGCACCGUGUGAUAGAGAAAACAACUGUGCUUAUGGGUGCCAUAAUGACAGAUGCUGGAGUGAGUGCAAUGGUAUCUGCUGUCUGACGAUCGACUGUUUUGGAGAGGAAAACAAGUGUACAGGCAAGUGUUCGAUAUCAGAGUGGUGCUACGUGGAGGGAGACUACUGGGACGGGUAUGUCAAGUGUAUGUUUGACAGUGACUGUAACAAAGAGAAAAUAGGUGCUCACAAGUGCGGCUCCUCCUGUACUGCUUAAAUUAAUCAGAUAAACGUUUGGAAACUUUUUGGAUG
Molecule: long non-coding RNA, 361 nt
Organism: Bolinopsis microptera
Lineage: Eukaryota; Metazoa; Ctenophora; Tentaculata; Lobata; Bolinopsidae
Exons: 2
Source: RefSeq, a predicted model, not a curated record